CAUACAACAGAGAUAGUUGCUGAGAUAAUGGUGAAGGAAAGAAAGCACAUGCAAACAAGCACUUGGCAAGAAUGACGAUGACACAAACACUGGGUCUUGCUCUGUUUCUUGUGUCUGUGUGAGUUUAAUGACUGCAUACAUUGAAUAUCAUCUUUCCCAUUGUGUCUUGGAACAAAGCACAAUGGCGGUGAGUGGGGACAGUGGGGUGUUGGUAAAUGUCAACUUUUUUUAAUGUGAUUUUACACACACAUUUGUUUCUUUUGUAGGCAUGCUAUCUUCACAAUGCUACUCCCUGUCACAAGUGGUUCGCAACUGUGAAGUACCACAGAUAUCCACAUUUUGGAUGUCUUCCUUAUCUGACAUACCCAGUUCAGGUUUUGUAGCAUUUACUCACCCUGUUAUUGUUCCAAACCUGUAUGAAUUUAGUACUUCUAUGGAACACAAAAGAAGAUAUUUUGAAGAAUGUUUCUGUUUUUGUCUAUUCAAUAAAUGUCAAUGGGGUUUCAUUGUACAGAUUUAAAAAAGCUGACUGAGAUGUUUUUUAAAGGGGUGGUUGAUUAUGAUUUCACUUUUUAAACUUUAGUUAGUGUGUGAUGUUGCUGUUUGAGCAUAAACAACCUCUGCAAAGUUACUACGCUCAAAGUUCAAUGCAAAGGGAGAUAUUUUCUUUUAAAGAAUUUGAUGUUUAAGGACUACAACAAACAGCUGGUAGGGACUACAACGUGCUGCUUCUAGGGUUAGUGACAUCACUAACCCUAAAAUUUACAUAAACCCCGCCCCCUGGAAAACACAACAAAGGGGGUGAGGCCAUGUUGGGCUGCUUUAGAGAAGAGAAAGAGUUGUUCUAGUAGAGUGUUGUUGCCAUGCCGUCAUUUUACGCCGGACUGCUUCACAAACGAAGGUCAAUUCAACACUGGAUUUGCACAAAAGAUAAACAUGUUGGCACAUGCUAGUCGAUGAGUUGAAAUUUUUGUGAGUGGAUAUGCAUUGCUAAGGACCUCAUUUGGACAACUUUAAAGGCGUUUUUCUCAAUAUUUUGAUUUUUUUUUUUUUUUUUUUUUUGCACCCUCAAAUAGUUGCAUCUCGGCCAAAUAUUGUCCUAUCCUAACAAACCAUACAUCAAUGGAAAGCUUUCAGAUGAUGUAUAAAUCUCAAUUUCAAAAAAAUUGACCCUUAUGACUGGUUUUGUGGUCCAGGGUCACAUAUGGGCAAAUCUGACAAGCUAUAAUAAAUGAUCUGUGGGGUAUUUUGAGCUGAAACUUCACAGACACAUUCUGGGGACACCAGAGACUUAUAUUACAUCUUGUGAAAGGGGCACAAUAGGUCCCCUUUAAAAUAUCUUCUAUGUGUUCCACAGAAGAGUGAAAGUCAUUCAGGCAAUGCCAUAAAGGCAAGUUCAAAAUGAUCAAACGCCAAAAUUUGUCUCAGACAGCAAAAUUGUGGCUUUAGUGAACCUCUACCCAUUAGAUGUCAGAGGUUAUAGGUGCAUGUGCUCAGCCUCCCUGUUUAUUUUCAUUACAAAACUCGCUGGUACUCAAGGUAAGAGCAGAUGCUGAGGACAGAGAUAAUAAAACAGCCCUUUCAGGCUGACAUCAUUUGGUUUUGUGGUUUUCCUCAAUAGUCUGGGUUCAGGUUCUCAGCAGAGAAGGGCAUCUCCUACACAAAGCUUUAUGUGAGGUCUAAAUGAAUUGUUCUGGAGAGAAGUGUGCACACUAGGAAAACCCUUGGAGCAGCCAUGUGAUGCUACGGAGCAGAGACUGAACAUUUUAUUAGAUAUCAUAUCACGCCCCUGACAAUGAUGAAAAGAAGACAGAGAGCAAAAACUGAUUGCCUGUGUCUUGUUUGAAGUCCUAAUGGGAUCUCUGUGAAACACACACAAACACCCACAUACUCAAAACACAAUCUGGCUUGAGGUAUAUGGUGGGUUUAAAAUGGGUCAUCGUACAUCUUUGCGAAGUAGGAAUGAAAUAAAAUUUCACCUAUUUGUAAAUGCUAUUGAUCUUAUUGUGAGUGAUUCAUCCAUGCGUUAUAUUUAUUUAUUUUUACUUUUUUGCCCUCGUAAUCUUUAAUCAAAAUAUCAUAACCAGACCUUUCCGGUGAAAUGACAGGACUUUUCCAGUAAUUUAAUCCGCUUAAACCCUGCCCCUGCAAGCUCAUGUUCAUAUGCCUCCUUUUUCUGAGUGCAACAGCCACAUUUCAAAAUCCAAUCAACCGAUGAACUGCCCUACAUAUUUUUUUUAAUAUCCUUGAUGGACAUAAUCCUCACGGUCAGUUUUGUGGCAUCAAAAGUCAUAAAUUAGUUUAUGACCAUUUUCCCCUUGUCUCACUCUGACAAUUAUUCAAUGCCAGCCUUUUUGAAAAGAAUUCCAUUAUGCAAUUACACUCUGGCAGGUUUAAAAUACAAUCAAAUACUGAUGCUCAAAGUUAAAUGAUCAGUUACAUAAUUAAUGUCCCUUCCGCUGUUCUUUCCUAAAGUUGGGAUUUAUCGCAAGGAUCUGCAGAGCAGUAGGUGCUACACACAGCCAGGAAAGCAGACUUUUCCAAAUUUCACUCUUAUCGCUUGUCCUUCUGGUGUUUAGGAAUAGUAAUGUUUCUGUCAUGACAACUCUCUGAGUGUUUGGCAUGGUAAUGGGCAUGACAAUGUUGAUAUGUUUGGUCUUGGCAGAAUAGAUCUGCUACUGCUGCUGCAGCUUAUUGCUUACUGCCAAUACAUACACGACACGCUGCUGUGAGCAAGUAAGACAUGCUUCUGUACAAUAUAGUAUACAUGAAUUACCUGUAGCAGAUCUAUACAGGUGGAGCUGGGGAAGGUGGAGGGUUUCUGAAAGUGCGCUGCACUGCUAAGGCAAAUGUUACCAAAGUAUCUGAAGGUUGAGCAUGCAAGCUCAUUGGCUACUAAUAAAGCAGGAACCAAUCAGCUGUGCCCUAUAGAUAACGAUGUGAUUAUAAGCAGGUUGAGUUAAAGGACCUAUUAGCCACAGAAUAGCCAACUCUGAAUGGGUAAAUUUGUCUCUUUUCACUGAGGAAGAAGUUUUCCAAUCCAAAAAGUACAAUGUUUCACAGUACACUGAAUAUUUUUAAAAUCAAGAAAGAGUUUAUUUUUCAUGGUUUGACCCAUUUAAAAGUUAUUUUAGUGUUAGAUUUACCUAAUUAAAUUACGGAAACAUUGCGCUUCAUGCCUGCAAUGUUUGAAAAGCACAAUCUGUCAACAUGGAUGCUCCGUUUCCCCUAAAUCCCAGCAGAGGGUCACUCUCCCCAGUGUCUCAAUCCCAGAAUGCUCUGGAAGCUCUGAUGCCCAACCAACCAUUUGCCUCCAGAGACUUGAGACCCUGGGUUUACCAACUGUGUGAGCUUUGACAGAUCUGGGUGCAUUUGUUGUCCUACAUUUUGUGAAAAAAAAAAAAAAAAAAAAAAGAUCUGCGACCAUCAGUCUCACACUGAAAACAGCCCUUACAGUCCUCUGGGCAUACACUUUGGCCUAGCGGCCUGUGCACGAUGCUAUUCUCCAGUCUGCGCGUCCUCCACACCCUUCAGCGGCCCAUCCUCCUAAACCACAUCCCUCUCAGAGAAAAAGAAAUAUGGAAACAGUGGCAGACCAUAAUUUCUUCUGCUUUAUUUUUAAACCCCCAGGCCAGGUUUUUAAUUUUAUAACUGUUCCACUCCCUACAACUAUCUGAUGGAGAACACAGUUCUUUUCAUCUAUAUAUUAGAGAAGAGGAGCAUCAGACCCUUUUAAGAAAGCCAGAGCAUCAGUGCUGUGUGUGCAGUGGGAUUUAAAAGAAUAGUUUACACAAAAAAUUAAAAUGUUGUCAUUUAAUCACUCGUUUCAAAAAAAAAUUCUUCAGUUUUCUGUUUUGGCUCAUACAAUGAAAGUCAAUGGUGUCCAAAACAUUGACCCAAUUGACUUUCAUUGUAUGGACACCCCAAUUUUUUUCCCCCCAAAAAAAUAUCCCUUUAUCUCUAGUAAAGCAAAAUGGCCAUUGGAUGCCUAAAUGAUGUCACUUUAUAUCAUCAUCCCCUUCAGGACAGGAUGCAUUGACUCCCCUCCCUCAACUCCCUACUUGUUUUUACACCAAAUGCAUCUGGGAGCAUUACCCCAGAGGAAUGUAGGAUGGGUAACUAAGGCGACAGUGUUAGUUUAGAGGGGUAUUCACAACUCAGAGGAAAGCAAGACAACAACAAAGUUGAUGCACUACUGAUAUAAUCUACAGCCACAGCUGUGGCAUGAAAUCUAAGAGAGACCUUGCAAUUACUCACCUCCAGAAACAAAUGUCGGUGUGCAUUUAUGAAAAGCUGUUAUUCUGCAAAAAGAUUUCACUUCCCUCUAAAACUCACUAUGAAUGAAAUCUAAUUAUGACCGUGGAGCAAAGAAACAUACUAUGUGUGUGUAGAUCUCAAUUAUGGUCUUGUUUAAUUUUCAAAGCCUUCUGAAGUCUAAAAACUGAUCUCUAGAUUACUGGUACUACAGUCGGUCCUGACAGGCGACAUCUGUUCUUUGAUGACACGUUUACUGGCUUGAGGGCGGGACAACCUGUCACUCAUAUGACAUCACAGCAAUAGCAAACCACAACCAUCCAAACAACGAUCCAAUCAACUCCUGAUGGACAAAAUCAAGCCCCGCCCUACAUUUUUUUCUUGUUCGAAAAGCCGUUUUACUCGGAUAUACAUCACAAUAGUUCCUCCCUAAAGCAACAGUGCAGAUAUUUUCAGCACAGACGAACAAAGUGUUGAGCCCAACUGUGAAUUCAACUGAGCUCUGCAGGAAGAUGAUGUAAGGAGACAUGUGAAGAGAUAAAGCCUCACAUCACGGACGGGUUUGUUUUCGCAUGUUCAGUAGUUGCUGGGGAAACUGUCUAAGAAACAUAUUUGUGGUUUGUCCUUCGAAGCUUUUCCGAGAGUCUGUAACAUUUAUGUGUGCACACAUGACUGGCCUUUAUAUUCUGUGGGUCUGAGCAUAUCAGUGCAUAUUUGUGUCUUAGAAAAGAUGUGGAACAGACUCAGAAAGACUGGAAUGCAGGAAAUGCAUCCUCAAGAUACAAACAAACUGGGCGACAAGAGAUUUAGCCAAAUGAGUUUGAUUUAGCCAAACUCAUUUGAAGUCUCGCACACUCCUAGUGCAGAAUUAUCAGUAUUUGCAGUGCUUCAGGAUACAAUCAUGUUAUCUCAUACAACCCAGCAGGUAACAGGAGGACUGUUAUAUUUUCACAAACACAGACAAUAGACAAGAACUGUGAAUGCAAGAACCGUGCCAAUCCUGCUUCCAUGAUGCUAGCAGGUGUUAUGGGAGGUUGCCAGGGCAUUGCUAUGUCACUGCUAAAAUAUUCAAAGUAGUUGCUAGCAUGUUGCUAGGUGGUUCACAUCCUUAUUUUUUUUAUACCAAACUAAUAAAAUACAGACUGGCAUGAAAAUAAGUCAAUAAUGGUGCCGCAGCCUCCAAAAAUGUGUAAAAAAAAAAAAAAAAAAACUGGAAAACAUUGUGGAAAAAUGUACAGACAGCUGCUCAGAAUGCAGAACAUAAAGACAAACUUCAGCAAGUUAUUAUUUUAACCUCAGAAGCCUUCAUAGUAUCAACACAGUACCUUGAAACACAACUUUGUUUCCAGAGUCAGAAAAAAGCCCCAACUCCCAGAAGUUGCAUAGUCAGCCAAUCAGAUUGGAGCUUGCCAGAUCAAGAAAAUACUUUCUAAUUUUGUCAGCAAAUGGGCUGUAGGCGAUCUAUUGGUUAACUCCAUUUAAAAAAAAAAAAGCAAUGUUAAAAGAAUAAUUUCAUAUGAAGUCAGCACUGAGUGUGCGGUGUGUACAUGUAGCCGUCACUCGUCUGUCUCUGCCCUGUGAACACAAGGCUGUCACACUUUGUUCACCUUACAAGCGUCCCAGUUCCAAGCUGUCAGUAUUUUUCCCAUCUUCAGAGCCACCGCCUGCUCCCUGCUCUCCAUUUCUUCUCUCACUCAUGUACUGCUCCAAUCCUCAUUCCACUCACAUAUUAACAUGAGGCAACUUUGGUAGUCCCACAAAUCCGUAAAGCUUUCCUUAGCUAAUUAUGCUCUCAUUAUAUCUGCAUAACCGAUAAGAGUGAGUUACUAUAAUCACUUCCAGCCAUUUUGCGUCUAACGAGCCUAAUUUCCUUCCUGAAAGGGUUUUCUCUUUGUAUUUCAAGGGAAACCGGCAGGGGCAGUGAAAUGUGGAAGGGGGUCUGGAGUGGCCUCCAAACUGACUUUCCCCAUCUGUUUCCACAAUAUUGGAGUGGAGAGCAUCACCCAACUUUCCCCUCGACAUCCAGACAAUUCAGGCUCUGCAGCUGCACGUCACGAAGGACGGAAAUACACUUCCUGGCACAAGCAGAAGAGUCAUCUCAAACCAUGGUUUGAAGAUAAAGUCUGACGAGGGCUGAAGUGGUCUAGUUGUGUCUCAUUGACAGGCUGAAUGGAUGCUGAUGGAGCUCUCAAGAACCGCUGAAAAACAGGAGGGAGGUAAAGUGUCUAAACAGCGAGGGCUGAUUUGACAUUUUAAAAGUGCCUGUGGUGAAUUCCACCCAAAAAGUUGAGAGCGCCGCUUUGGCUAUUGAAGUAAACACUCUUAAUAUUUCAUGUGUGAUUCUGCAGGCAGAGCUGAAGCUUAAUUGUAGGUCAUAGCAACUGUUUGAACACAUGAAAGAAAUAUUAAAAAGGUAUAACUAAACAUCGUCUCGAGGUGUCGAUACAAUACCAUCAGGUGCAACCGCGGUUUGUUGCCACAUAUUUACCGCCUCCCGAGAUGAUGCCUUUCUGUGAUUGCUUGUUUAACACGGAGCCACUUGGGAGGAUAUGCAUCUGUUUUGGCAGGAGCACACACACUGACAUACAGCAAACUGUGUGGCCGACUCUCUUUCGGGCCACGGCACAUUUUUAGAUGCCAGGGGAGUGAAGAGUGGCCUGGUUUUGUCAGAAGCAUUAGCUGGGAGACAGAGCGCACAGCAGCAGCGCUCUGAUGUGUCCGGCGGUGAGGAGGGCGUGAUAUCGAACCCUCACUUCAGUUAACAUGCAUUCAUUAUAGCGUGAGGACCGGCUGACACAGUGUCCAGCUGUGAGGAGACAGGGAACAGGUCAUUUCAGGUCUGCUAAUGAAAUCCUGAAGUGGCCUUCCUCAUUUAGCCCAGAACAAGCUUCUCUCUACUCACCGUGACCUCAUUAUGGGUGGGUGGAGUGGUGAAAGAUCUGAGCUUGUAACAGAAAGAUUGUUAGUUGGAACUCCACACUGAGGGAGUCAUUAGCUCAGUUGGUCAAAGCAGGGUUUUCAAACUUUUUGAUACCAAAGACGCCCAAAUAUUAUGAUCCUAAUGUGAACCCCCUUUGUAAAAUACAAAGGCAGCUAUAUAAAGUUAUAUGUAUAUUGUGUGAGAAAAAAAAAAUAUUACUCACCACAUUAUUCAGACAACAUGUUUCUAUUAAA
Ctenopharyngodon idella (grass carp) is the source of this 7428-nucleotide long non-coding RNA. RefSeq lists it as uncharacterized. The transcript is spliced from 3 exons. Lineage: Eukaryota; Metazoa; Chordata; Actinopteri; Cypriniformes; Xenocyprididae. The record is from RefSeq and is a predicted model, not a curated record.